AUCUCAAGUGGAUUGCUUAAGGAC
This 24-nucleotide microRNA is filed under the name Glycine max (soybean). RNAcentral describes it as "gma-miR5771". Lineage: Eukaryota; Viridiplantae; Streptophyta; Magnoliopsida; Fabales; Fabaceae. The record is from miRBase by way of RNAcentral.